AGUGAACGCUGGCGGUAGGCCUAACACAUGCGAGUCGAACGGCAGCACAGUAAGAGCUUGCUCUUACGGGUGGCGAGUGGCGGACGGGUGAGGAAUACAUCGGAAUCUACUUUUUCGUGGGGGAUAACGUAGGGAAACUUACGCUAAUACCGCAUACGACCUACGGGUGAAAGCAGGGGAUCUUCGGACCUUGCGCGAUUGAAUGAGCCGAUGUCGAAUUAGCUAGUUGGCGGGGUAAAGGCCCACCAGGGCGACGAUCCGUAGCUGGUCUGAGAGGAUGAUCAGCCACACUGGAACUGAGACACGGUCCAGACUCCUACGGGAGGCAGCAGUGGGGAAUAUUGGACAAUGGGCGCAAGCCUGAUCCAGCCAUACCGCGUGGGUGAAGAAGGCCUUCGGGUUGUAAAGCCCUUUUGUUGGGAAAGAAAAGCAGCAGGUUAAUACCCCGCUGUUCUGACGGUACCCAAAGAAUAAGCACCGGCUAACUUCGUG
This 492-nucleotide ribosomal RNA is filed under the name uncultured bacterium. RNAcentral's name for it is "partial 16S ribosomal RNA". It matches the Rfam family "Bacterial small subunit ribosomal RNA", at positions 29 to 507 of the family's 1533-position model. The record is from RNAcentral.